This 84-nucleotide ribosomal RNA is filed under the name Arthrobacter cupressi. RNAcentral describes it as "23S rRNA. Bacterial LSU". It matches the Rfam family "Bacterial large subunit ribosomal RNA", at positions 1 to 82 of the family's 2925-position model. Lineage: Bacteria; Bacillati; Actinomycetota; Actinomycetes; Micrococcales; Micrococcaceae. The record is from RNAcentral.
GUGGUCAAGUUUUUAAGGGCACACGGUGGAUGCCUUGGCAUCAGGAGCCGAUGAAGGACGUAGGAAUCUGCGAUAAGCCUGGGG